AUGGACAAAUACUCUAUGGCACUGAAAGAUGUUAUGGAACUUAUUGAGAAGGAGGGGAAUGAUAUGGUCGCCAGCUUUCGGGACAGCAAGAGUCGAACGUUGCUACACCUUGCAGCUCGCAAAGGCAAAGCGGAUAUCUGCUCAUAUCUAAUUAGUGAAGUUGGCAUCGAUGUGAAUGCUGCCUAUGGUAAAGGUCAAACAGCAUUGAAGAUAGCUACAGAUAAAAGUCAUAUGGAAACUGUUGAAUGCCUGCUCAACAACGCGGCCGAUCCAUCUGUCCUGAAUAUUGGGCCAACUAUACUGUGUAUGGCUGCAAAGUUUGGAAGAUUAGGAAUAAUGAAGCUUCUACUUGACAAGGGAGUUAAUGUUGAUGCCAAAGGCUUUGAGGGUACUGCACUUGCGUGUGCUGCUAGGUGCAGACAAAUAUGUGCAGUCAAGUUUCUCAUAGAACACGGUGCUAAGGUGCAGCCAGAACCAGAGUUCAAUUCCGUUCAUGAAGUCACACCUCUAUCUUGUGCUGUCUCCUUCGGUUCAUUCGAGUGUUUUGAUCUUUUAUAG
This 558-nucleotide ribosomal RNA is filed under the name Triticum aestivum (bread wheat). Its description in RNAcentral is "partial small subunit ribosomal RNA". Lineage: Eukaryota; Viridiplantae; Streptophyta; Magnoliopsida; Poales; Poaceae. The record is from RNAcentral.